RNAcentral lists this ribosomal RNA (497 nucleotides) under uncultured Actinomycetes bacterium. RNAcentral describes it as "bacterial SSU rRNA". It matches the Rfam family "Bacterial small subunit ribosomal RNA", at positions 89 to 601 of the family's 1533-position model. Lineage: Bacteria; Bacillati; Actinomycetota; Actinomycetes. The record is from RNAcentral.
GGAUUAGCGGCGAACGGGUGAGGAACACGUGAAGAAUCUGCCUUCAACUCUGGGAUAACUCCGGGAAACCGGGGCUAAUACCGGAUAUGAGCCUUGAUCGCAUGAUCGGGGCUGGAAAGUUUUUCGGUUGAAGAUGACUUCGCGGCCUAUCAGCUUGUUGGUGAGGUAAUGGCUCACCAAGGCGACGACGGGUAGCCGGCCUGAGAGGGCGACCGGCCACACUGGGACUGAGACACGGCCCAGACUCCUACGGGAGGCAGCAGUGGGGAAUAUUGGGCAAUGGACGAAAGUCUGACCCAGCGACGCCGCGUGCGGGAUGAAGGCCUUCGGGUUGUAAACCGCUUUCAGCAGGGUAUAAGCGCAAGUGAAGGUACCUGCAGAAGAAGCACCGGCUAACUAUGUGCCAGCAGCCGCGGUAAUACAUAGGGUGCAAGCGUUGUCCGGAAUUAUUGGGCGUAAAGAGCUCGUAGGUGGUUUGUUACGUCGGUUGUGAAAUU